Molecule: ribosomal RNA, 927 nt
Filed under: uncultured Lobulomycetales
Lineage: Eukaryota; Fungi; Chytridiomycota; Chytridiomycetes; Lobulomycetales
Description: partial 28S ribosomal RNA
Rfam family: Eukaryotic large subunit ribosomal RNA
Source: RNAcentral
GAUUCCCCUAGUAACGGCGAGUGAAGCGGGAAGAGCUCAAAUUUGAAAUCUCGCUUAACAGCGCGAAUUGUAGUUUAAAGAAGUGUUUUCGGGGGCCGCCUAGGUAAAAGUCCCUUGGAACAGGGCAUCAUAGAGGGUGAGAAUCCCGUCUUUGACCUAGGGCCGGUUUCUAUGUGAUACACUUUCCAAGAGUCGGGUUGUUUGGGAAUGCAGCCCAAAAUGGGUGGUAAAUACCAUCUAAAGCUAAAUAUUGGCGAGAGACCGAUAGCGAACAAGUACCGUGAGGGAAAGAUGAAAAGAACUUUGAAAAGAGAGUUAAAUAGUACGUGAAAUUGUCAAAAGGGAAACGCUUGAAACCAGUGUUGCGGCCUAGAUCCCAACCGGUCUUACGACUGGCCCAUGUUCUAGGUUGUAGGUCAGCAUCGGUUUGGUUUGGAGUAUAAAGCUUGAGGAAGGUAGCCCCUCGGGGUAUUAUAGCCUCUCGUUCUGCUCUGGACUAGACCGAGGUUCGCAGUGCAGUCUUGGGGAACCUAGUGCUAGUUGUAGCGGAUUCUAGGACAACGUGUUGAUCUAGAGUGCGUCAAGGCUAAUCGUUAGGCGUACCACACCUGUGCUUAGGAUGCUGACAAAAUGGUUUUAAACGACCCGUCUUGAAACACGGACCAAGGAGUCUAACACAUAUGCGAGUAUUUGGGUGUCAAACCCGAAAUGCGUAAUGAAAGUGUUAAGGUGGGAUCAUUUGUGCACCAUCGACCGGUCUUGAAGUUUACGGAAAGAUCUGAGUAAGAGCAUAUUUGUUAGGACCCGAAAGAUGGUGAACUAUGCCUGAAUAGGGCGAAGCCAGAGGAAACUCUGGUGGAGGCUCGUAGCGAUUCUGACGUGCAAAUCGAUCGUCAAAUUUGGGUAUAGGGGCGAAAGACUAAUCGA